CUUAGUCUCACGAGCAAGCUUAAGCCGAUAGGCGGAGGCGUAGCGAAAGCGAGUCUGAAUAGGGCGAAUGAGUUCGUGGGAUUAGACCCGAAACCGGGUGAUCUAGCCAUGGGCAGGUUGAAGGUGGGGUAACACCCACUGGAGGACCGAACCCACGUCCGUUGAAAAGGACGGGGAUGACCUGUGGCUAGGGGUGAAAGGCCAAUCAAACUCGGAAAUAGCUGGUUCUCCGCGAAAUCUAUUUAGGUAGAGCGUCGGAUUAGUACCGCCGGGGGCAGAGCACUGGAUGGGCUAGGGGGGAGCGAUCCUUACCAAACCUAACCAAACUCCGAAUACCGGCGAGUAUCGUCCGACAGACAGGCUGUGGGUGCUAAGGUCCAUGGCCGAGAGGGAAACAGCCCAGACCACCAGCUAAGGUCCCCAAAUCGUGGCUAAGUGGGAAAGGAUGUGGGAAGGCCAAGACAACCAGGAGGUUGACUUAGAAGCAGCCAUCCUUUAAAGAAAGCGUAAUAGCUCACUGGUCUAGACAAGCCGUCCUGCGCCGAAAAUGUAACGGGGCUAAAGCCACGUACCGAAGCUGUGGAUGUGCAUGCAAAUGCACGUGGUAGCGGAGCGUUCCGUAAGCCUGUGAAGGGGUCUCGCGAGGGGUCCUGGAGGCACCGGAAGUGAGAAUGCUGACAUGAGUAGCGACAAACAGUGUGAGAGACACUGUCGCCGAAAGUCCAAGGGUUCCUGCGCAAGGUUAAUCCGCGCAGGGUGAGCCGGUCCCUAAGGUGAGGCCGAAAGGCGUAGUCGAUGGGAAUCAGGUUAAUAUUCCUGAGCCUGCUGGAUGUGACGAACGCUGCAAGUUGUGAGGGCUUAUUGGAUUGCCCUUGCCGCGAAGGCGUUCCAGGAAACAACGCCAGCGUGAGACCGUACCCGAAACCGACACAGGUGGACUGGUAGAGCAUACCAAGGCGCUUGAGAGAAUGAUGUUGAAGGAACUCGGCAAAUUGCCCUCGUAACUUCGGAAGAAGAGGGCCCUUGUCUUGGGCAACCAGGAUGAGGGGGCACAGAGCAGGGGGUGGCGACUGUUUACCAAAAACACAGGGCUCUGCGAAGCCAACAGGCGACGUAUAGGGUCUGACGCCGGCCCGGUGCCGGAAGGUUAAGAGGAGGGGUGCAAGCUCUGAAUCGAAGCCCCGGUAAACGGCGGCCGUAACUAUAACGGUCCUAAGGUAGCGAAAUUCCUUGUCGGGUAAGUUCCGACCUGCACGAAUGGCGUAACGACUUCCCCGCUGUCUCCAACAUCAACC
RNAcentral lists this ribosomal RNA (1295 nucleotides) under metagenome. Its description in RNAcentral is "bacterial LSU rRNA". It matches the Rfam family "Bacterial large subunit ribosomal RNA", at positions 627 to 2033 of the family's 2925-position model. The record is from RNAcentral.